GACGAACGCUGGCGGCGUGCUUAACACAUGCCAGUCGAACGGAAAGGCCUGCUUUCCCUUGUGGAUUGCGGGUACUCGAGUGGCGAACGGGUGAGUAACACGUGAGUGAUCUGCCCCCAACUUGGGUAUAAGCCUGGGAAACUGGGUCUAAUUCCCGAUAGGACUGCAGGGUGGUGCCUGUGGUGGAAAACGAUUUUCUAGUGGUUGGGGAUGAGCUCGCGGCCUAUCAGCUUGUUGGUGGGGUAAUGGCCUACCAAGGCGGCGACGGGUAGCCGGCCUGAGAGGGUGGACGGCCACAUUGGGACUGAGAUACGGCCCAGACUCCUACGGGAGGCAGCAGUGGGGAAUAUUGCACAAUGGGCGGAAGCCUGAUGCAGCGACACCGCGUGGGGGAUGACGGCCUUCGGGUGGUAAACUCCUUUCGACCGCGAGGAAGCCACCUGGUUGGAAGGGUGGUGACGGUAGUGGUAGAAGAAGCACCGGCUAACUACGUG
RNAcentral lists this ribosomal RNA (494 nucleotides) under uncultured bacterium. Its description in RNAcentral is "partial 16S ribosomal RNA". It matches the Rfam family "Bacterial small subunit ribosomal RNA", at positions 28 to 507 of the family's 1533-position model. The record is from RNAcentral.